RNAcentral lists this ribosomal RNA (198 nucleotides) under uncultured bacterium. RNAcentral describes it as "partial 16S ribosomal RNA". It matches the Rfam family "Bacterial small subunit ribosomal RNA", at positions 328 to 539 of the family's 1533-position model. The record is from RNAcentral.
ACGCUCGACACCUACGGGNGGCAGCAGUGGGGAAUAUUGCACAAUGGGGGAAACCCUGAUGCAGCGACGCCGCGUGAAGGAUGAAGUAUUUCGGUAUGUAAACUUCUAUCAGCAGGGAAGAAAGUGACGGUACCUGACUAAGAAGCCCCGGCUAACUACGUGUCAGCAGCCGCGGUAAUCUGAGCGGGCUGGCAAGGC